AGCGAACGCUGGCGGCAGGCUUAACACAUGCAAGUCGAGCGGGCAUCCUUGUGGUGUCAGCGGCAGACGGGUGAGUAACGCGUGGGAACGUGCCCUUCGGUUCGGAAUAACUCAGGGAAACUUGAGCUAAUAACGGAUACGCCCUUUUGGGGAAAGGUUUACUGCCGAAGGAUCGGCCCGCGUCUGAUUAGCUAGUUGGUGAGGUUAUGGCUCACCAAGGCGACGAUCAGUAGCUGGUCUGAGAGGAUGAGCAGCCACACUGAGACUGAGACACGGCCCAGACUCCUACGGGAGGCAGCAGUGGGUAAUAUUGGACAAUGGGGGCAACCCUGAUCCAGCCAUGCCGCGUGAGUGAUGACGGCCUUAGGGUUGUAAAGCUCUUUUCUCCAGGACGAUAAUGACGGUACCGGAGGAAUAAGCCCCGGCUAACUUCGUG
RNAcentral lists this ribosomal RNA (436 nucleotides) under uncultured bacterium. RNAcentral's name for it is "partial 16S ribosomal RNA". It matches the Rfam family "Bacterial small subunit ribosomal RNA", at positions 29 to 507 of the family's 1533-position model. The record is from RNAcentral.